This 626-nucleotide long non-coding RNA is filed under the name Anolis carolinensis (green anole). Its description in RNAcentral is "lncRNA (ENSACAG00000038636.1)". Lineage: Eukaryota; Metazoa; Chordata; Lepidosauria; Squamata; Anolidae. The record is from RNAcentral.
AGACCUUGACUUUGGACUACGUAUAGUUUGGAUGUGUUGAGCUCAGAGGGCAUCUAGCCAUUUAGGAUAGCUCCACUGGAAGACUUGAUGAAGGCAGAAAACUACAAUUUUGUUUCUGCUACCAUGGCACUGGAGUAUAUCCAGAGUAAACCAAGAGAUUUGCUGAGCUCCACUUAGUGGGAAGGGAUGCUCAGAGACAAUUGCAGAAGUUUCAACAGUAUCACCUCCUAUGGCAACAAGAAACUCCCCAAAAGCCACCAGGGAUCCAGAUAGAGCUGCCACCCAUCGAGGGAUUCCAGAAAAGCUGCCAUGAAUCAUUUAAAGUGCUGCUGAUCUCAACGGAAGGAAUGACAACUCCUGGGAACUAUGGGCUAUUUUCUCAUGCCAUUGCUGAAGAAUAGCAGCACAUAGAUACAAAAUUCUUUCCCAUUUGGAUCCAUCCGAUCAACUUGCAAAAAGCUAUUCCCUGCAGCUCAGCCUGCCUGCUUAACUCCUUUCUUUAAGAUGGCAUUGAAAAAAGUUCAGCAGCUUUCUCUGUGCAUUUGGGAGAAGUAAGCAACCAAAAGAUUCUGUCGAGAGAGAAGGCAACAGCAUGCAAAAUGAGAACUGAAUGUCUCUCUGAAUGA